AUACGGAGGGUGCAAGCGUUAUUCGGAAUCACUGGGCGUAAAGGACGCAUAGGCGGGUUGGCAAGUCAGAUGUGAAAUCCUACAGCUUAACUGUAGAACUGCAUUUGAAACUGCUAACCUAGAGUAUGGGUGGGGGAGAUGGAAUUAGUGGUGUAGGGGUAAAAUCCGUAGAUAUCACUAGGAAUACCGAAAGCGAAGGCGAUCUCCUGGAACAUAACUGACGCUAAGGCGUGAAAGCGUGGGGAGCAAACAGGAUUAGAAACCCUUGUAGUCC
Molecule: ribosomal RNA, 274 nt
Filed under: uncultured bacterium
Lineage: Bacteria
Description: partial 16S ribosomal RNA
Rfam family: Bacterial small subunit ribosomal RNA
Source: RNAcentral